This 245-nucleotide ribosomal RNA is filed under the name uncultured bacterium. RNAcentral describes it as "partial small subunit ribosomal RNA". It matches the Rfam family "Bacterial small subunit ribosomal RNA", at positions 26 to 285 of the family's 1533-position model. The record is from RNAcentral.
AGAAUCAACGCUGGCGGCGUGCCUAACACAUGCAAGUCGAACGAGAAAGUGGAGCAAUCCAUGAGUAAAGUGGCGCACGGGUGAGUAACACGUGACUAACCUACCCUUGAGUGGGGGAUAACCUAGGGAAACCUGGGCUAAUACCGCAUAAUACCUUCGGGUCAAAGGAGCAAUUCGCUUGAGGAGGGGGUCGCGGCAGAUUAGUUAGUUGGCGGGGUAAUGGCCCACCAAGACGAUGAUCUGUA